GAGUUUGAUCGUGGCUCAGAGCGAACGCUGGCGGCAGGCCUAACACAUGCAAGUCGAACGAACUCUUCGGAGUUAGUGGCGGACGGGUGAGUAACACGUGGGAACGUGCCUUUUGGUUCGGAAUAACUCAGGGAAACUUGUGCUAAUACCGAAUGUGCCCUUCGGGGAAAGAUUUAUCGCCAUUAGAGCGGCCCGCGUCUGAUUAGCUAGUUGGUGAGGUAAAGGCUCACCAAGGCGACGAUCAGUAGCUGGUCUGAGAGGAUGAUCAGCCACAUUGGGACUGAGACACGGCCCAAACUCCUACGGGAGGCAGCAGUGGGGAAUCUUGCGCAAUGGGCGAAAGCCUGACGCAGCCAUGCCGCGUGAAUGAUGAAGGUCUUAGGAUUGUAAAAUUCUUUCACCGGGGACGAUAAUGACGGUACCCGGAGAAGAAGCCCGGCUAACUUCGUGCCAGCAGCCG
RNAcentral lists this ribosomal RNA (460 nucleotides) under uncultured microorganism. RNAcentral describes it as "bacterial SSU rRNA". It matches the Rfam family "Bacterial small subunit ribosomal RNA", at positions 9 to 517 of the family's 1533-position model. The record is from RNAcentral.